This is a long non-coding RNA of Salvia splendens (bonfire salvia), 345 nucleotides long. RefSeq lists it as uncharacterized. The record is from RefSeq and is a predicted model, not a curated record. Lineage: Eukaryota; Viridiplantae; Streptophyta; Magnoliopsida; Lamiales; Lamiaceae. The transcript has 2 exons.
UCUCUUUCUCCCUCACUCUCUCUCUUUCUCUCUCGGUCUCUCUACCGCCGGGGACGACCACCUCCGCCGUCGCCGCUGUAUACAUGGCGGUCUCACCGCCGUCGACCGAGAGAGAUUUGGAUAGAUCGUGAAAACGUGGUCGAAGGAGGUUAGUUUCGCUGUGAUCGCCGGACUGCCGCCGGAGCGCUGCCGGAAAGUCGCCAGACUGCCGUCGCCGUCGCUGGGCAGAAUUUCCGAAAAUCCGGCAGCUUCUUUACUCACGAGAUAAGCUUCACUGUUCAGUUAAUGGUGUAUUUAUAUAAGUCUUAAAUCUAAAGUUUGCAUUUUGUUGGAUUAUUUGAGAAG